Molecule: ribosomal RNA, 116 nt
Filed under: Pteropus alecto (black flying fox)
Lineage: Eukaryota; Metazoa; Chordata; Mammalia; Chiroptera; Pteropodidae
Source: RNAcentral
GUCUAUGGCCAUGCCACCCUGAACAAGCCUGAUAUCUGAUCUCGAAAGCUAAGCAGGGUCGGGCCUGGUUAGUACUUGGAUGGGAGACCACCUAGGAAGACCAGGUGCUGUAAGCA